This is a long non-coding RNA of Chinchilla lanigera (long-tailed chinchilla), 852 nucleotides long. RefSeq lists it as uncharacterized. Lineage: Eukaryota; Metazoa; Chordata; Mammalia; Rodentia; Chinchillidae. The transcript has 3 exons. The record is from RefSeq and is a predicted model, not a curated record.
GAGAAAGAAGAGAAAGAGCUACGUGAAUGGUUUGAGCAGCUUCUAAACUUCUCAGAAUAACAACCAAGCAGCAUUAUUGAAAGACUUAAAGCAUUUCAGAUCCUUUGAUCUGGCAAAUACACUCCUAGAAAAUCAUUCUAAAAUGACAAAAGGAGUCACAUCUGAGGAAAUGGAUUAAAUACCCAGCCAUCCCUCAGAAUUUGCGGGGGUUUUGCUCCAGGACCCACACGUGUACCAAAAUCUACAGAUGCUCACGUCCUCAGCUGCCGGGAAACACUGUUUGUGGGAGAGCCUCAGCAGAAGAGAGAAACCGCAGCAGAUACCAGCAAUGGAAAGAUGCCAACAUGCACAGCUGCCCUCCACAGCCACAGGAGAACUCAGAGAAAAGCCAAGAGGCAUGGGGUGGACACACCCGAAGCAGCUUCUAAUGAGUUAUGCUGCUGUAUAAUGCCUUCCUCUUGAGCAGGAGUGGAGCCCGAGACCACUUCUCACCAAUAGAAUAUAAAAAGGCGAUGGGUUUAUGUUUAUGUUUGACGAGGUUAUACAAUAAUCUAAUGAUCGGUAACGCUAUGCUUAUGUUCAAUUAGGUUAUACCAUAACCAAAAGUGAAGGAGUUCUGCUGAAGUCAUGAAGGUCCAAGUCAAUUCAUUCUGUUACUAAGAGGGAAGUUAUCCUGUGUGGACUUGGCUGGUUCCGUCUUGAGGUCAGUGAGAUCCCUCUCUUUGACCUGGAAGAAGAAACAGCCAUAUUGUCAAUUGUCUUUAACAUACAAUCUCCGCCCAGCUGACAAAGUGAUGAGACCCUGAGCAGGGCACUCUGGAAUCCUGGCCCACAAAAACUGUGACAUAAUGA